Molecule: ribosomal RNA, 253 nt
Filed under: uncultured bacterium
Lineage: Bacteria
Description: partial 16S ribosomal RNA
Rfam family: Bacterial small subunit ribosomal RNA
Source: RNAcentral
UACAGAGGUCUCAAGCGUUGUUCGGAUUCAUUGGGCGUAAAGGGUGCGUAGGCGGCGCGGUAAGUCGGGUGUGAAAUCUCGGGGCUUAACUCGGAAAGGUCAACUGAUACUGUGCGACUAGAGUGCAGAAGGGGCAACUGGAAUUCUCGGUGUAGCGGUGAAAUGCGUAGAUAUCGAGAGGAACACCUGCGGCGAAGGCGGGUUGCUGGGCUGACACUGACGCUGAUGCGCGAAAGCCAGGGGAGCGAACGGG